AACGAACGCUGGCGGCAGGCCUAACACAUGCAAGUCGAGCGGACCCUUCGGGGUUAGCGGCGGACGGGUGAGUAACGCGUGGGAAUAUGCCCUCCUCUACGGAAUAGUCCUGGGAAACUGGGGGUAAUACCGUAUACGCCCUUUGGGGGAAAGAUUUAUCGGGGAAGGAUUAGCCCGCGUUGGAUUAGGUAGUUGGUGGGGUAAUGGCCUACCAAGCCGACGAUCCAUAGCUGGUUUGAGAGGAAGAUCAGCCACACUGGGACUGAGACACGGCCCAGACUCCUACGGAAGGCAGCAGUGGGGAAUCGUAGACAAUGGGGGCAACCCUGAUCUAGCCAUGCCGCGUGAGUGAUGAAGGCAUUAGGGUUGUAAAGCUCUUUCAGCUGGGAAGAUAAUGACGGUACCAGCAGAAGAAGCCCCGGCUAACUCCGUG
This 433-nucleotide ribosomal RNA is filed under the name uncultured bacterium. RNAcentral describes it as "partial 16S ribosomal RNA". It matches the Rfam family "Bacterial small subunit ribosomal RNA", at positions 29 to 507 of the family's 1533-position model. The record is from RNAcentral.